Molecule: ribosomal RNA, 498 nt
Filed under: uncultured bacterium
Lineage: Bacteria
Description: bacterial SSU rRNA
Rfam family: Bacterial small subunit ribosomal RNA
Source: RNAcentral
ACUCAAAGGAAUUGACGGGGACCCGCACAAGCGGUGGAGCAUGUGGUUUAAUUCGAAGCAACGCGAAGAACCUUACCUAGUCUUGACAUCCCAUUGACCGCAGAGUAAUGUCUGCUUCCCUUCGGGGCAAUGGUGACAGGUGGUGCAUGGUUGUCGUCAGCUCGUGUCGUGAGAUGUUGGGUUAAGUCCCGCAACGAGCGCAACCCUUAUCUUUAGUAGCCAGCAUUUCGGAUGGGCACUCUAGAGAGACUGCCAGGGAUAACCUGGAGGAAGGUGGGGAUGACGUCAAAUCAUCAUGCCCCUUAUGACUAGGGCUACACACGUGCUACAAUGGUGAUAACAAAGUGAAGCAACCCUGUGAAGGUGAGCAAAUCACAAAAAUGUCAUCUCAGUUCGGAUUGUAGUCUGCAACUCGACUACAUGAAGCUGGAAUCGCUAGUAAUCGCGAAUCAGAAUGUCGCGGUGAAUACGUUCCCGGGUCUUGCACACACCGCCCGU